Molecule: ribosomal RNA, 243 nt
Filed under: Salmonella enterica subsp. enterica serovar Infantis
Lineage: Bacteria; Pseudomonadati; Pseudomonadota; Gammaproteobacteria; Enterobacterales; Enterobacteriaceae
Description: partial 16S ribosomal RNA
Rfam family: Bacterial small subunit ribosomal RNA
Source: RNAcentral
GGAUGACCAGCCACACUGGAACUGAGACACGGUCCAGACUCCUACGGGAGGCAGCAGUGGGGAAUAUUGCACAAUGGGCGCAAGCCUGAUGCAGCCAUGCCGCGUGUAUGAAGAAGGCCUUAGGGUUGUAAAGUACUUUCAGCGGGGAGGAAGGUGUUGUGGUUAAUAACCGCAGCAAUUGACGUUACCCGCAGAAGAAGCACCGGCUAACUCCGUGCCAGCAGCCGCGGUAAUACGGAGGGU